This 700-nucleotide ribosomal RNA is filed under the name uncultured Hydrogenophaga sp. Its description in RNAcentral is "bacterial SSU rRNA". It matches the Rfam family "Bacterial small subunit ribosomal RNA", at positions 61 to 763 of the family's 1533-position model. The record is from RNAcentral. Lineage: Bacteria; Pseudomonadati; Pseudomonadota; Betaproteobacteria; Burkholderiales; Comamonadaceae.
GUCGAACGGUAACAGGUUAAGCUGACGAGUGGCGAACGGGUGAGUAAUGCAUCGGAACGUGCCCGAUCGUGGGGGAUAACGCAGCGAAAGCUGCGCUAAUACCGCAUACGAUCUGAGGAUGAAAGCGGGGGACCGUAAGGCCUCGCGCGAUCGGAGCGGCCGAUGUCAGAUUAGGUAGUUGGUGGGGUAAAGGCUCACCAAGCCAACGAUCUGUAGCUGGUCUGAGAGGACGACCAGCCACACUGGGACUGAGACACGGCCCAGACUCCUACGGGAGGCAGCAGUGGGGAAUUUUGGACAAUGGGCGAAAGCCUGAUCCAGCAAUGCCGCGUGCAGGAAGAAGGCCUUCGGGUUGUAAACUGCUUUUGUACGGAGCGAAAAGGCUCUCUCUAAUACAGGGGGCUCAUGACGGUACCGUAAGAAUAAGCACCGGCUAACUACGUGCCAGCAGCCGCGGUAAUACGUAGGGUGCAAGCGUUAAUCGGAAUUACUGGGCGUAAAGCGUGCGCAGGCGGUUUUGUAAGACAGGCGUGAAAUCCCCGGGCUCAACCUGGGAAUGGCGCUUGUGACUGUAAAGCUGGAGUGCGGCAGAGGGGGAUGGAAUUCCGCGUGUAGCAGUGAAAUGCGUAGAUAUGCGGAGGAACACCGAUGGCGAAGGCAAUCCCCUGGGCCUGCACUGACGCUCAUGCACGAAAGCGUG